Triticum urartu is the source of this 587-nucleotide non-coding RNA. The record is from RefSeq and is a predicted model, not a curated record. Lineage: Eukaryota; Viridiplantae; Streptophyta; Magnoliopsida; Poales; Poaceae.
AGUGUCUCAGUGACAGAAAUAACUCAAAAGCUAUACCUUUAGCUGUGCUGGCAAUCGAAUGUAUAUAAUCGUAACCGUUAGUUAUUACCGUAGCUAGCAGAUCUCUUUAGUAAGCAGUAACUGGUAGUUCUCAUAAUCCAUCCCAUAGAUUACUUCCCCAAUGUGUGUUCCAAGGGCUUUACCUGUUAGAAUUGAUGCUUGUUUCUACUAAGUGUUGCACUUGUUUCUACUAAGUUUUAACUGUGAAUCUGUUGUUUCACAUAUACUAUAUACAACUGAUGCCUUGAAGAAGUCAGCUCCCCUUGGAUGGUGCAGUGUAGCAAAUAAAUGUUGAUUCAUUCAUUCUUUGAUGUUGGCUUUCAUUCUUCCAAAGUUGGGUGUACAUGAGCUCUAGGAAGAAUCCCGAAGAUAAACCACACCCAGCAAUGUGUUUUAGCUCACUAGAGAUAGUUAUGCUUGCAGCUAGUUAUGUGUAUAUUUAGUUAUAUUUUAUAGCUGAAUACCAGAAUUGUACUAUGUUUGGCUGUUGUAUGAAAUAUUAUGCCUUAUUGGCUCUUUUUGAAUCAAAUUAUCUAAUUGCACAAAUA